CUUGGAAGUCGAAACACAGCGUGGUGGCAUGCACUGGUCGUUCAGCCUCGUGUCGUUGAGAUGUUGGGUGUAAGUACUCCCAACGAAGAGCAAACCCUGUCUUUUUUUUGUUCACCAUGUAAUGUUGGGAACUCUAAGGAGGCCGCCCGUGACCAACCGGGGGAAAGUGGGGAUGAAGUCAAGUCAUCAUGGGCCUUUCGGCCCGGACUACACACGUACUACAAUGGUAAGGACAGAGGGCUGCAAACCGGCGACGGUAAGCCAAUCCCAGAAACCCUAUUUCAGUUCGGAUUGGAGUCUGCAACUUGACUCCAUGAAGUCGGAAUCGCUAGUAAUCGCAGAUCAGCAUUGCUGCGGUGAAUACGUUCCCGGGCCUUGUACACACCGCCCGUCACA
RNAcentral lists this ribosomal RNA (396 nucleotides) under Stenotrophomonas maltophilia. RNAcentral describes it as "bacterial SSU rRNA". It matches the Rfam family "Bacterial small subunit ribosomal RNA", at positions 1017 to 1401 of the family's 1533-position model. Lineage: Bacteria; Pseudomonadati; Pseudomonadota; Gammaproteobacteria; Lysobacterales; Lysobacteraceae. The record is from RNAcentral.